RNAcentral lists this ribosomal RNA (252 nucleotides) under uncultured bacterium. Its description in RNAcentral is "partial 16S ribosomal RNA". It matches the Rfam family "Bacterial small subunit ribosomal RNA", at positions 524 to 776 of the family's 1533-position model. The record is from RNAcentral.
UACGUAGGUCCCGGGCGUUGUCCGGAUUUAUUGGGCGUAAAGCGAGCGCAGGUGGUUUAUUAAGUCUGGUGUAAAAGGCAGUGGCUCAACCAUUGUAUGCAUUGGAAACUGGUAGACUUGAGUGCAGGAGAGGAGAGUGGAAUUCCAUGUGUAGCGGUGAAAUGCGUAGAUAUAUGGAGGAACACCGGUGGCGAAAGCGGCUCUCUGGUCUGCAACUGACGCUGAGGCUCGAAAGCAUGGGUAGCGAACAGG